AGCUCCAGUAGCGUAUAUUAAAGUUGUUGCCGUUAAAAAGCUCGUAGUUGAAUUUCUGGUGUGACGUGCCUAGUCGGCCUCGAAUGAGUGUCAGUGCUGGAGCAGGUCCAUCAUCCUUCUAGUUUUUCGGCGUCUCCUUCAUUGGUUGGCGUUCGGGGCUAGAUCUUUUACUUUGAAGAAAUUAGAGUGUUUAAAGCAGGCUUUGCGCUAUGAAUACAUUAGCAUGGAAUAAUAAUAUAGGACUUUGGUCUUUGUUAUUGGUUUCUGACCAAGGUAAUGAUUGAUAGGGAUAGUUGGGGGUGCUAGUAUUGAAUGGCCAGAGGUGAAAUUCAUGGAUUCAUUCAAGACUAACUAAUGCGAAAGCAUUCACCAAGGAUAUCUUCUUUAAUCAAGAACGAAA
This 400-nucleotide ribosomal RNA is filed under the name phytoplankton environmental sample. RNAcentral's name for it is "partial small subunit ribosomal RNA". It matches the Rfam family "Eukaryotic small subunit ribosomal RNA", at positions 587 to 988 of the family's 1831-position model. The record is from RNAcentral.